This 662-nucleotide long non-coding RNA is filed under the name Ovis aries (sheep). RNAcentral describes it as "lncRNA (ENSOARG00000025336.1)". The record is from RNAcentral. Lineage: Eukaryota; Metazoa; Chordata; Mammalia; Artiodactyla; Bovidae.
AUACAGCAAAAGCAGAGCAGUUUUGUGGCUUGAAGGUUGUACCUAAAUGACUAUAUAUAUAUAUGGCUACACAAGAAUAACAGCAACUGAAAACCACAGUCCACUCAAGGAAAUAUGGUUGGCAAAUCUCCCUUCCCCUAAAUUAGGGGGAACCCAGUGAUGUGUGUGUUCAUGUGCAGUAGGUCACAGGGUUAGAGGUACGAUGGCAGAAACAGUAGGAAGCAAGAAAGACACAAGGAACAAGCCAGUUUUCUCCUUCCACAGGCAUCAGGAGCAACAGGACUUUCUGCAGAUGAUGCUCACCGAAGUCCUGAAGUGCAGCGGGAAAGAGAGAUUUCCUGAAUUGAAUAUUAUGGCUCAGUGGAUAAAGAAUCAGCCUGCAAUGUAGGAGACACAGGAAACGUGCAUUCGAUCCCUAGUUUGGGAAGAUCCCCUUGCAGGAGGAAAUGGCGACCCACUCCAGAAUUCUUGCCUGGAAAAUUCCAUGGACAGAGGAGUCUGGUGGGCUACAGUUUAUGGAGUUGCAAAGAGUUGGACACAACUCAGUGACUAAGAACAAGUAUAAGGCUAGUAAUACUGAUUUCAUAACUUGUCAUAAGAACACUGUAGACUAAUGUCUUCUAUGAAAUGCAGAUGAAAAAUUCUAAUUAAUUUUUAGCAAA